Molecule: long non-coding RNA, 1930 nt
Organism: Equus caballus (horse)
Lineage: Eukaryota; Metazoa; Chordata; Mammalia; Perissodactyla; Equidae
Source: RefSeq, a predicted model, not a curated record
CGUACUGGAGUAGCGUGGGCCCCUAAUCCAACAGGACUGUGUCUUUAUAAAAAGGGGAACUCUGGACACAGACACAGAGGGAGAACACCACGUGAAGAUGGGAGUGAUGCUGCCAGAAGCCAAGGAAGUACCAGAAGCUGGGAGAGAGGCCUGGAACACAGCCUUCCCUGGAGCCAUCAGAGGGAGCGUGGCCUGGCUGACACCUUGAUCUUGGACUUUCCAGCCUCCAGAACCGGGAGAGAAUAAAUGUCUGCUGUCUAAACCACCCACUUUGUGGUACUCGGUGGGGGCAGCCGGAGGAAACUAAUUCAGCCACCAACCACCUCGGCUGCCUUGAAGGUGACUCCUCUUGCUGCCAUUAUAGAUUGCUAGGAAGUCUGGGGUUUUGUGACCAUAACUUCCCUCAGCCAAGACUUCCUGAUGAGAAAACUGAGGCACAGAGACCACACAGAGGCUUCCUACACGUUCAUUCUCAUUCACGCUACCCCUCACUGCUUCCUGGAAUCCUCUCCCAAGAAAACUCCAUCAUCUCUGGGUCUGCUCUGAGGAGAACCACCUAAGACCCAUGGCCUCUUUGGGAUAAAAUAAUGGAUCUGCUGCAAAAGCCCAGUCCACCUUUCUAAGCUGUGCAAUGCUGGGCAAGGGAAAUGGGAAGAGACUAAUACUUAGUUCUCAGAAUUCCUUUGAGAAUUAAAUGAGGUAGUUCUUAUACAGUUUGCACAGUGGCUAGCAAAGAGUAGCCCUUCCAUAGAUGUUGGCUAUUAUUACUCUCCUGCUGCUUCUUCUGAAGCCUUCUCCGUCCCCUGUGCCCUGUGGGUAUCCAACAUCCAGAUCAUGCAGGAAUGGUGACGUGGAGCUUCAGAAAGGUGUCUGUACUUGCGAUGGGAGAAAAGGGCUUGAAUCUAGCUGGGCCACCAAUCAAGGAAACUGAAACUUGGUUUCCUUAUCUGUGAAAUGAGAAUGUAAAUAUCAACCUCACGGGGCUAUUGUGAAGAAGAAAUUAAACAAUGUGUAGACAGCACUUGGCAAUGAAUCUGGUGUGUGGUCGGCACUCAGCAAACGUUUGUUGAAGGAAAAGCAGGAGUGACAGGGUCCUGAAUGACCUGCUGGGGUUGUGGCAUCUCUCCCACUGCCCCCUGCAUGGGACUCCCCAGGGCCACCUUGGCCUAGGCAAGCAGGAGGAGUCAGUAGAUGGAAAGGCCUGGCCGCUUGCCACUCUUGAUGAGGCUCAACUCCUUGUUCCGUGCCCAGCCAGGAAACAGUAUUAUUCCAUGAGCCCAAACCCCUCAUUGGACGAGGCCAGCAAUAACCACUGGGAUGCCAUUGUUGUUUGUGAGAUGUCUGGGCAGGACUAAUAGGUGGGGUUGACCAGAAUGAGGGAUUGUAUUAUGAGCGAAGGCGUGUUCUCAAGGGAUCCCUCCUACUCCAAAGGAUGGAGGAAGAUGCUCCAUUGAAUGAGAGCGGAGACACAGACCUGCCGCCCCAGAAGUAGCUUUCAGUCUUGCAUCAGUGGGCAGGCCUCAGACUUGCCAAGAGAAGCCACUUUCUUGGAAGGGGCUGCAAAAUUGAAACAAGACCAGUCUGCUAGUUUAGGCUGCUUUAAUUUUACAAACGGUUUGUUAUUUGCUAGCUUAUUUGAUCCUCACAACCACCCCGUAAAACAGGCUGGGAAAUAGUAUCUCCUAUUGACAAUUGAGGGAAACUGAGGUCCAGAGAGGUAAUUAACCAGCUUCAGUCAGUUGCUAGCGGCUGACGCAGGAGUCGUCCCAUAUCGUGGGUCCCGGCCCUGUGAAUUCUCCAUCCCAGAAGAUGGACAAUUUAAAUGGCAGGAGAAGGAGAGCCUCUGCUUUAAUUUUUAAAGAUAUUUUAAAAGUAAAGGAAAAAAGUCUUUAUGAGGCUAGCCUGGUGGUGCAGUGGUUAAGUUCAUGGG